AAAUUUAUUUAAUAAAAUUAAAAGGACGCGGUAACCUUGACCGUGAUAAUGUAGCAUAAUCAUUCGCCAUUUAAUUGAUGGAUAGUAUGAAUGGUUGAACGAAUAUUCCACUGUCUUAAAAAGAAAUUAACAAAAAUUAGAAUAAUAGUGAAGAUACUAUUUAAAAUUGUAAGACGAAAAGACCCUAUAGAGCUUAACUAUAAUCUUUCUUUUUAACAUUAAUAGAAAGAUUGGUAGUUUAGUUGGGGCGACUGUCUUUUAAAAUAAACAAAGACAAGCAAAAUUAACACUAAAAUUUAUUGUAUAAUUCAUAAAUUUAACAAUUACAAAAGUAGGCUAUAAUGACCCGUUAUCAUUUUAUAAAAAAAAAUAACGAUCAAUAAAUAAAAGCUACCUUAGGGAUAACAGGAUAAUUUUAUUCUAGAGAUCUAAUCGAAAAUAAAGUUUGUCACCUCUAUGUUGAAUUAAGAUAUCCUGACAAUGCAGAA
RNAcentral lists this ribosomal RNA (488 nucleotides) under Sertularella robusta. RNAcentral describes it as "partial 16S ribosomal RNA". It matches the Rfam family "Bacterial large subunit ribosomal RNA", at positions 1901 to 2560 of the family's 2925-position model. The record is from RNAcentral. Lineage: Eukaryota; Metazoa; Cnidaria; Hydrozoa; Leptothecata; Sertulariidae.